GACGAACGCUGGCGGCGUGCUUAACACAUGCAAGUCGAACGGAAAGGCCCUGCUUUUGUGGGGUGCUCGAGUGGCGAACGGGUGAGUAACACGUGAGUAACCUGCCCUUGACUUUGGGAUAACUUCAGGAAACUGGGGCUAAUACCGGAUAGGAGCUCCUGCUGCAUGGUGGGGGUUGGAAAGUUUCGGUGGUUGGGGAUGGACUCGCGGGUUAUCAGCUUGUUGGUGGGGUAGUGGCUUACAAAGGCUUUGACGGGUAGCCGGCCUGAGAGGGUGACCGGCCACAUUGGGACUGAGAUACGGCCCAGACUCCUACGGGAGGCAGAAGUGGGGAAUAUUGCACAAUGGGCGGAAGCCUGAUGCAGCAACGCCGCGUGCGGGAUGACGGCCUUCGGGUGGUAAACCGCUUUCGCCUGUGACGAAGCGUGAGUGACGGUAAUGGGUAAAGAAGCACCGGCUAACUACGUG
This 468-nucleotide ribosomal RNA is filed under the name uncultured bacterium. RNAcentral describes it as "partial 16S ribosomal RNA". It matches the Rfam family "Bacterial small subunit ribosomal RNA", at positions 28 to 507 of the family's 1533-position model. The record is from RNAcentral.